UCGUGGGGUGACUUGUCUGCUUAAUUGCGAUAACGAACGAGACCUUAACCUGCUAAAUAGCCAGGCUAGCUUUGGCUGGUCGCCGGCUUCUUAGAGGGACUUUCGGCUCAAGCCGAAGGAAGUUUGAGGCAAUAACA
RNAcentral lists this ribosomal RNA (137 nucleotides) under uncultured eukaryote. RNAcentral's name for it is "partial 18S ribosomal RNA". It matches the Rfam family "Eukaryotic small subunit ribosomal RNA", at positions 1299 to 1458 of the family's 1831-position model. The record is from RNAcentral.